Molecule: ribosomal RNA, 468 nt
Filed under: uncultured bacterium
Lineage: Bacteria
Description: partial 16S ribosomal RNA
Rfam family: Bacterial small subunit ribosomal RNA
Source: RNAcentral
GACGAACGCUGGCGGCGUGCUUAACACAUGCAAGUCGAACGGAAAGGCCCUGCUUUUGUGGUGGUCUCGAGUGGCGAACGGGUGAGUAACACGUGAGUACCCUUCCCUUGGCUUGGGGAUAACUGCAGGAAACUGGAGCUAAUACCGAAUCGGAGCUCCUGCUGCAUGGUGGGGGUUGGAAAGUUUAGGCGGUUGGGGAGGGACUCGGGGCUUAUCAGCUUGUGGGGGGGGUAGUGGCUUACCAAGGCUUUGACGGGGCGCCGGCCUGAGCGGGUGACCGGCGACAUGGGGCCUGAGAUACGGACCAGAGUCGUACGGGAGGCAGCAGUGGGAAACAUUGCACAAUGGGCGGAAGCGUGAGGCAGAAACGCCGCGUGCGGGAUGAAGGCUUUCGGGUUGAAAACCGCUUUCGCCUGUGACGAAGCGUGAGUGACGGUAAUGGGUAAAGAAGCACCGGCUAACUACGUG